CAUUUGAAAUUUCGUAACAAUUAAUGUUGAGGGGGUUUUAAAAAGGAAUAUAUAUAUAUAUAUAUAUAGUCCGGCUGAAAUAUUAUCGAUAGCAUCAAAGAUUUGGUGCUAUCGAGUUUUCUACCGUUAGAUUUAAUCCUUUGAUUAUUUUUACUCGUUAGAUUAUACUAUUCAACUAACCACUCACUCAACUCUAACCCACAUCAUCCUAACCACACAUUUCUCAAUCCAAGGGCUAAAAAACUAACAGCACUAUUGCUUGCUGCUAUUGAUAGUAUUCCAGCCUAAUUCUAUAUAUAUAUAUAUAUAGAAUUAGGCUGGAAUACUAUCAAUAGUACUAAUUUGGUGCUAUUAAGUUUUCUGUCCUUGGAUUAAAAAAUAUGCAGUUAGGAUGAUGUGCCCCCUAUAGUUG
RNAcentral lists this long non-coding RNA (412 nucleotides) under Ananas comosus (pineapple). RNAcentral's name for it is "long non-coding RNA (ACOM_LNC018803)". The record is from RNAcentral. Lineage: Eukaryota; Viridiplantae; Streptophyta; Magnoliopsida; Poales; Bromeliaceae.